AAUUCUUAUUAAUAUACUUUCAAAGUUCUUUAAGUUCUUUUUUCAUUAUCUGAUAUAUCAGUACAAAGAUCAGUUUCUGUUCUUCUUCUAAGAGUAUUUUAUGAUCUUAUUUUUUAUAUUCAGACAAACUGUCUCUGAUCAGUGUCUCUCUAAAUAUGUCUUCAAAUUUCUGGAAUUUGUCUGCUAUAAUGACUCUGAUCUUUCUUAAUACUCAGUCUUUUGAUAUAAUUAGUUUUCACUUUUUGAAAUUUCUGAUCUGCUCUGUUGCUUAAAUUUCUUUUUUUAUAACUUUACUUCUGAUUUAUUCUGUGCUGU
RNAcentral lists this small RNA (315 nucleotides) under Histoplasma capsulatum. Its description in RNAcentral is "hypothetical RNA". Lineage: Eukaryota; Fungi; Ascomycota; Eurotiomycetes; Onygenales; Ajellomycetaceae. RNAcentral also lists the same sequence under 1 other name. The record is from RNAcentral.